This is a long non-coding RNA of Perognathus longimembris pacificus (Pacific pocket mouse), 2669 nucleotides long. RefSeq lists it as uncharacterized. NCBI's taxonomy places the organism in Eukaryota, Metazoa, Chordata, Mammalia, Rodentia, Heteromyidae. The transcript has 3 exons. The record is from RefSeq and is a predicted model, not a curated record.
CAGGACAGUUAUGAAAAUAAAACUAUGUAAUCACAUGCUUGCAAACUGAAAUUGGACUUUUCAACUUACUUGAAAAGCCUAGAGGCUUAUUUUUUUCCAGCUAAGGCUAUAGUUUAAACAUUACUUUAUAUUCUAUCUCCUUUUAAAAAUAGAAGGGACCAGUUCAAAUCCCACUUGUGGGCAGUGCCCACACAUCGUGUGUAUUAGGUUUAAAUGCUGUAGUCCUCAGAGGUGAACAUGGCUGGCCAGGUGGUAGGGGAAAAAUCUCCUUUCUGCAGGGGCUGGAGCUGAGCCACUGUUGGGGGUGUGUGUGGCUCAUGACAGUCAUUCCUCAUCACACAGCUCUGGCUGCCUUUGUAGCUUGGCACAGCUCAAGUUCUUCCCUACAGGAGCUCAGUUCUCGUUCAGAAGGUUGUUAACGUUUGCACAGCAUUAAAUGCACACAUUACCCAUAAAUGCAGCCAGAGUCCUAACAUGCAACAAGUGCAUGUUGGAAAUCCAGCACAAACGUUUGUUUUCUUUCUCCUCCUCCUCCUUUACAAAGUCUGAUGUUUGAAACUGGUCAAUGGCAGAGUAGGAGUAGCUGGUAGGGGAGCCAGGGAAGGGGGUCUGGGAAGGUAAGGGGGAAUUGAAAAUAGGAAAUGGAAGUGUAUUUGGGAGACAGCCAAGAUGUAGUUCUACCCGCAAGCAAGGAGCAGAAAAACAGGUUGGUUCAUUUUUAGGAGGAUAGUAUUCCUUGCAGGAUGGCAGCACCAUUUAUUUUGUAAUUUCAUGGUAUAAAACCUCCUGGGCUUUGUCUUAGCCCUGGCUUCUACUGAGUAAAACAAACGUUUUGUACUGUUGCCACUCUGAAGUCAUCCGAUGAAAGCUGACAGACCAUCCAGAUAUUCUGGUGCCCAAGGGGGGGUUACCUAGGAUCCUAUUAACCAUAAAAUGGCCAACUCCUGACUUCAUCUUUUGUAAAAAAGCAAAGCAAUUUUUCAUUUCCUCUUCUAAUGGUGGCUGGCGAAGGCUCAGCUGGCUGCUCGCUGAACCAUAAUGCAUAAAACUGAUCUUGAUGGGAACACAAGAUUCCCUGCUAAAUAUCAAGAAGUUCCCAGGUAUAGCCCUUUCCUCAGGAACUAUGAUUAAUAUAGUAAUAUUUCUCUUCAAACAGAAUCUCAAUACUUUAUUCCUGUGAAGUAGAUGGGGGAAGAAUGUAUGCAAUCUAAUUAAUGACUUGCCAGUGCUCUCUGCUUUCAAGAUGGGGCUGUCCUGGCGUCUAACCAUUUUUCUAAUGGUGUCCCAAGCUUAAGCGCUUGAAACACCAGCCAGGUGCUCCACUGGGCACUUGCUCUUUAAAGGACAACAAUGGCUCAAACACUUUGAUAUGUAAAUAAUUUAAGAGCCAAUUAAAUAUUAACAGGAUUUCUAGACUCUUCAAAAGAAAUAGAGAGUGAGAGAUAUUGGCUGCACACAAAGCAAAGCCUGAAAGCUGGAUUAAGAAUGGAAAUACCACUUGUGAACUAAUUUGAAUUAAGAGAUUACACAUGCACUAGGACUCCAUGAUCCAAGUAUUUAUCCUGGCUAAAGAAACUUCAUGUGUUGCCUGUUGGAAUCUGGAUCUGGGUUAAAGUCUUGGUCUAUAGUCUGUACAGUCCUGAGAGGGGAUGGAGCCUUUAGAAGGUCAUAGAUUAAGGGGCAUGACCUUGAAGGGGAUAUUAAGAUCCCAGCCAAGUGGUCCAUGUGCUCCCACCCUGAAGUACUGCCUCACCUCUGGCCCAAAAGCAAGAAGGCUAACAGACCAUGGACUGAAACUUCUAUAACCAGAGCUAAAAGAAUCCUUUUCUAUUUGACAAUGACUAUCUCUAGUCUUGGUUACAGUACCAGAAUCACCCAACACUCUGUCCUUCACACACAGUACAGCUGACAUCUCAGAGCUUUACUUCCAGAGCUCGAAGCCAGUAAACAGGGCCCAUAGUGAACAGAAGAAACAUGGAAUCAAAGCAGCUUUUAGUCUAGAAGGCCUCCUCCCUCACCCAGCACUUCACGGACAAGCCAUCCCACAAGGGCAGCUGGCACACAAUGGAAGGGUCUUAACGUAGCUUACACCAAAAUCUUUGUCUAAAGGCAGCUCCUAUAAACAGCCCGAUAAUGCAUGAUUCGCCCAUGAGAUCAUUCCAGAAUUGGGCUCUGUGUGGGAAUAUGCUUGGUGUGAGGAAAGAAAUGUAGCUUGUGAAAGUGUAAUUUUCCACCACGAAAAGAGAUGUUUUCUGGGGAAAGUGGGUGGGGAAGGAGGAGGGUGGGCCUGGGGCCAGGCGGGAGCAUUUAGGUUUGAAGGCUCUCUCUAAGAAUAGAAGAAGCUGUUCUCUGUGUCACAAAGUGAUCAAGGCUCAGAAAACAGACCCAAGUGGAUGACCUCAUCUGGAAGCCCUGAAUGCCAAGAGCUAAGGACACACACACCAUGGGGGAAGGGGGGGCAGAUAACAAUUUAAAAACACACCCCCAGAGAUACCUUGCACACUCCAAUGUGAGUGCCACACUCAGCCUGUUUUUGUUGUUUUUUAUAGCUGGUACUGGGGCUUGAAGUCUAGGCCUCAGGCUCUUGCUCAGUUUUUUGGCUAACAGCUGGCUGUCUGCUAUUUGAGCCAUAUAUCCAGUCUGCUGGCUGUGGAAAAUCUCAAAAGAAA